RNAcentral lists this unclassified non-coding RNA (200 nucleotides) under uncultured fungus. RNAcentral describes it as "partial contains 18S rRNA, ITS1, 5.8S rRNA, ITS2 and 28S rRNA". Lineage: Eukaryota; Fungi. The record is from RNAcentral.
AAGGAUCAUUAAAAGUAAUAUAUAUUCAUUCGAAUAUACGUUUCAAACCCCUUGUCUAAACUACCUGUUGCUUCCGAUCGUUUUGGCUGUACAGUUAGCUGUAUAGCCUGGUCGGAAGGUUAACAUAAAAUAUUGUAUUUAGAGUCUUCUGAAUUUAAAAAUAAAAGUUAAAACUUUCAACAACGGAUCUCUUGGUUCUC